This 712-nucleotide ribosomal RNA is filed under the name Dyadobacter sp. SMCC G958. RNAcentral's name for it is "bacterial SSU rRNA". It matches the Rfam family "Bacterial small subunit ribosomal RNA", at positions 18 to 738 of the family's 1533-position model. The record is from RNAcentral. Lineage: Bacteria; Pseudomonadati; Bacteroidota; Cytophagia; Cytophagales; Spirosomataceae.
CAUGGCUCAGGAUGAACGCUAGCGGCAGGCUUAAUACAUGCAAGGCGAAGGGGCAGCAAUGUCACUGUCGUACGGGUGCGUAACGCGUAUGCAACCUACCUAUCACUGGGGGAUAGCCCGGGGAAACCCGGAUUAAUACCGCAUAACACAGGGGUCCCGCAUGGGUACUAUUUGUUAAAGAUUUAUCGGUGGUAGAUGGGCAUGCGUUCGAUUAGCUAGUUGGUGCGGGUAACGGCCCACCAAGGCGACGAUCGAUAGGGGAGCUGAGAGGUUGAUCCCCCACACGGGCACUGAGAUACGGGCCCGACUCCUACGGGAGGCAGCAGUAGGGAAUAUUGGGCAAUGGAUGCAAGUCUGACCCAGCCAUGCCGCGUGCCGGAUGAAGGCCCUCAGGGUUGUAAACGGCUUUUAUUCGGGAAGAAGAGCAGGGAUGCGUCCUUGUGUGACGGUACCGAAUGAAUAAGCACCGGCUAACUCCGUGCCAGCAGCCGCGGUAAUACGGAGGGUGCGAGCGUUGUCCGGAUUUAUUGGGUUUAAAGGGUGCGUAGGUGGCCUGUUAAGUCAGUGGUGAAAUACAGCCGCUCAACGGUUGAGGUGCCAUUGAUACUGACGGGCUUGAAAUAAUUGGAGGCUGCCGGAAUGGAUGGUGUAGCGGUGAAAUGCAUAGAUAUCAUCCAGAACACCGAUUGCGAAGGCAGGUGGCUACGAUUGG